CCGCUGAAAUUAAGCAUAUAACUAAGCGGAGGAAAAGAAACUAACCAGGAUUCCCUCAGUAAGGGCGACUGAAGCGGGAAGAGCUCCACUUGUGAAUCUGCGCUUGCGCCGAAUUGUGGUGUGUUCACGUUAUUGUCCGGGCCAAGUCCCUUGGAACAGGGCGGCAGAGAGGGUGAGACCCCCGUUCGCCUGGACUUUGAGUGAGCAUAAUCGAGUCGAGUUGUUUGGGAUUGCAGCUCAAAGCGGGUGGUAAAUUCCAUCGAAAGCUAAAUAUUGGUGGGAGACCGAUAGCGUACAAGUACCGUGAGGGAAAGAUGCAAAGAACUUUGAAAAGAGAGUUAAAGAGUACCUGAAAUUGCUGAAAGGGAAGCGAAGGAAACCAGUGUCAUCCCCGUCAUACUUCUCUGCUCGCUUGCGGGCAGGGCGCUGUGGCUGGAUUGGUCAGGCUUGGUUGCGAGUGUCGGAUAGGCGCCAGAGGAGUUGACUCUGGUUGCUGGCGACAGUUGCGACUGAGGUUGGCGAAAUGGUUUUCUUUACCCCGUCUUGAAACCGGGGACCAAGGA
This 563-nucleotide ribosomal RNA is filed under the name Diatoma moniliforme. RNAcentral describes it as "eukaryotic LSU rRNA". It matches the Rfam family "Eukaryotic large subunit ribosomal RNA", at positions 25 to 672 of the family's 3401-position model. Lineage: Eukaryota; Bacillariophyta; Fragilariophyceae; Tabellariales; Tabellariaceae. The record is from RNAcentral.